Molecule: long non-coding RNA, 1979 nt
Filed under: Malurus cyaneus samueli
Lineage: Eukaryota; Metazoa; Chordata; Aves; Passeriformes; Maluridae
Description: lncRNA (ENSMCSG00000001857.1)
Source: RNAcentral
UUAAUUCUUGGUGUACCAUCCGUCAAGUGUUUCAGAGCCAGACUGCUUGAAAAUACUGUAGUGGUGCUCACUCAUUGGUUGGGUUUUGCUUAUUAUCUUUUUAAACCUUAAUGUAUAUUCGCUAGUAAAAUACAGGGAAUAUGAGUAGGCUGCUGUUCUGGGAAGGUGCUGUCAGGGAGCAGGGAACAGCCUGUCUCUGGUGAGACAGUUCCACCUUGUGGAGCUUCUGAGAGAGGCUUUUAUGAAAGACUUAUGUAAAGAUUUUAAUUUCUUUCAAAUCUUCUUCAGAGAAAAACAUUUACGAAAAACAAUAACAAGAGAUAAAAGUGUCCCUAAUUUUGACUAUCACUUUCUGCACCAGAUGGCUAUUAGAAGCUUUGAUAAAAGCAAAUUAAAAUCUGUUGGAAUGCUGGCUCAGAGCACGGUUAAGGUGACUGACACGGGGUGCAGUGGUGAGUUUGUGGAAGAUGAUGACAUGGCAGCAGCUCCUCCCAGGAGUAAGUUAAUGCAGCGCAGACACACGGUCAAUGUGCCACUGCCAGCAGAGGAGCUCAGUGACAGCGACUCAUCCAGCCCUGCAGAUGCAGGUGUUUCACAGUCACAGGAGUGUGGUGACUCCGUUUCAGAUCACUGACAGGAAAACACCAAUUUGAAGCCCAAAGCUGAGGAAGCUGGCGUUGUGAAACUCCAGAGCCCUUCAGUGUGUGUCAGAUAUCGGUGACAUUCACACACCCAAGUUCAGAGCAGACACACGACAGCUCUGCAGCACAGCUGGAAUGUCCUGGCACCUUGGGGACUGACUGCUCUGUUCAUGUUGGAGGUCACCACGCAGCCAGAUCAUUACUGAUCUCACAAACAGGGAUGUAACGAGAUGAAAACAGCAAAAUUACUGUCAUAUUCUAUUUAGCACUUACAAAAAGUUCUAUGUAACAGUAAACCAAAUGAAACCCUGUAUUGUAUUUUUCAGCCACCCACUUUGUUUUAAAAGUCUUUGAAUAAUUUUUGCAUUUUCAGUUUUUAUCACUACAUUCAAAAUGAGAUAUAAAUAUAUUUAUAUAAAAAGAUAUAUUGGAUAACAAGGUAUUUAUGCAGAGGUAUGGAAUGUCUAUUUUUAUUGCAAUAUUACAAACCAUUAUAGUAUAUAUUUCUGUACAUUUCAGUAGCUGGGCAAACAAUAGUCCAUAACAUCUGCAUUAUUAAUGUGAAGGGAUGUAAUCUUUGCUAAUCUCUUAGCAAUGCUGGGGCUGCAAGUUCUUACACAGGAGCCAAGAUACUGAGGAAAAAGCAGAGAGCCCCUGACAUAGCGAAACUUUGGACUUGCUGUUCACAACCUAAUAAAAAAGCAGAAGCAAGCCUGUUCAAGGGCACACACAACUGUUUGUCCCCUCCUCUAAAGCAAAUAAUGCAAAAAUGCACAAAAAUUCACGAUUCUGAACCUGAGAAAUAUCCACAGACAAAGCUGCUUAGGAGCCUGCUCUGGACUGCUCUUUGAAAGGUGGAAUUGCCAUUAUGAAGGUACUUCUCACAUCAGUGAGCAGUGGCUGGCACAGGCCAAAUCCUCCCCCAUUCCCAGGGCUGAUCACUGAAGAAUUGAAAGCUCACAGGGAACUAUCAAAGUGGCUGCUUAGAUUUGAAGUUCAUGUUCUACUGUUACGGGAGGAGAAGGUGUAAAUAGCACAAGCCAGGCUUUGCAGUGCCGUAUUUUUUUAUUCUUGGCUCAUCACAUUCAGCUUGCCUUUUAUUUCAUGAACUAUUUGUAUAGAUAAUUCUCUUUCUUUUUACUGUGGUAUUAGUAAACUGCCUGGCAAAAUAGAAAGCUGGAAAACAGAGCGGUGGGUUUUCCAGAUAACUUUUUAAUCCAAGAGGUAAAAUGUCAAAUGUCAUUUGGAUUUGAGGGUAAUGUGUUUAUUUUUCUAAUAAUUUAUGAGUUCAUCUGAUUUUCUGAUGUGCCUUGGAUUUGUGCCAAAUGAUGGAAAGAA